AGCGGCGGACGGGUGAGUAACGCGUGAGUAACCUGCCUUUCAGAGGGGAAUAACGUUCUGAAAAGAACGCUAAUACCGCAUAACGUACAGUUACCGCAUGGUAGCAGUACCAAAGGAGCAAUCCGCUGAAAGAUGGACUCGCGUCCGAUUAGCUAGUUGGUGGGGUAAAGGCCUACCAAGGCGACGAUCGGUAGCCGGACUGAGAGGUUGAACGGCCACAUUGGGACUGAGACACGGCCCAG
Molecule: ribosomal RNA, 242 nt
Filed under: uncultured bacterium
Lineage: Bacteria
Description: partial 16S ribosomal RNA
Rfam family: Bacterial small subunit ribosomal RNA
Source: RNAcentral